AACAAACGCUGGCGGCGUGCCUAAUACAUGCAAGUCGAACGGGGAAAGUAGCAAUACGAGUACUAGUGGCGCACGGGUGAGGAAUACAUGGGUAAUCUGCCCUCGAGCUCGGGAUAACCAGUCGAAAGACUGGCUAAUACCGGAUAUGACCACAAGAUCUGAGGAUCAAGGGGUAAAAGGUUUUUCGCUUGAGGAUGAGCCCAUGUGGGAUUAGCUAGUUGGUGUAGGUAACGGCUCACCAAGGCGACGAUCCCUAACUGGUCUUAGAGGAUGAUCAGUCACACUGGAACUGAGACACGGUCCAGACUCCUACGGGAGGCAGCAGUAGGGAAUAUUGCACAAUGGAGGAAACUCUGAUGCAGCGACGCCGCGUGAGUGAUGAAGGCCUUCGGGUCGUAAAGCUCUGUCGUAUGGGACUAACAAAAUGAAGGUACCAUGCAAGAAAGGAUCGGCUAACUUCGUGCCAGCAGCCGCGGUAAU
RNAcentral lists this ribosomal RNA (480 nucleotides) under uncultured bacterium. RNAcentral describes it as "bacterial SSU rRNA". It matches the Rfam family "Bacterial small subunit ribosomal RNA", at positions 29 to 524 of the family's 1533-position model. The record is from RNAcentral.